UAUUUUAAUGGCCGCAGUAAUUUAACUGUGCAAAGGUAGCAUAAUCAGUAGUCUUUUAAUUGAAGGCUGGAAUGAACGGUUGGACGAAGUAUUAACUGUUUCAUAUGAAUUUAUUAUAGAAUUUUAUAUUUUAGUAAAAAAGCUAAAAUUUUGUUAAAAGACGAGAAGACCCUAUAAAUCUUUAUAAUUAUUAAUUAUCUAAUUUUUUUGAUGAGGUUUAUUUUUUUAUUAAUAAUUAUUUUAUUGGGGUGAUAUUAAAAUUUAAUUAACUUUUAAUUGUUGUAAUUCAUUUAUUUAUGUUUUAAUGAUCCAUUAAUAGUGAUUAAAAGAGUAAGUUACUUUAGGGAUAACAGCGUAAUUUUUUUGGAGAGUUCUUAUCGAUAAUAAAGUUUGCGACCUCGAUG
Molecule: ribosomal RNA, 404 nt
Filed under: Tachinisca cyaneiventris
Lineage: Eukaryota; Metazoa; Arthropoda; Insecta; Diptera; Tephritidae
Description: partial 16S ribosomal RNA
Rfam family: Bacterial large subunit ribosomal RNA
Source: RNAcentral